GCCGUGCACGGCGAUCGGAGGUAAGAAUCUCCUUCUUUUUUAUUUUUUUUCUAUAUUUUAUGUGUUUAUAAUAUAUGUAUAUAUAUAUGCAAAUAGAAUAUUCGAAAAACGGAAAAGAAAAAGAAAUAAAUCAAAAAAGUGUAUAGAAUAUAAUCACCUUAGUUCUUUAGAUAUCUGAUUCUUAGUAUUUGUUUUCCGAUUUAGUGUUUUUCUCUUUGAUUGGCUAUUUUGUGCUUUGUCUCACUUGAUUUUUUGUUUGUAUUUUAAAACCAAAUGUUGUUUUUAUUUCUCACAAGUGCCGACCUUGUACAAUGGUUUUAGGGGUGGCCUUUUAUAUCCACUUUCCCCUACAACUUGCUCAUUAAUAAAUUGCUCUGUCUUUCUUACAGAAAAAUGGGCGGUGCUGGUGUCAGGCAGUGGCGGUGGACAUGACAAGCGGUGGCAGACCUGGCACAGGUGGUUAGGCUAGGGUUUUCUUUAGCUUUUGUGUUUUGUGUUUGGGUUGGGGCUUUGAUUUGUUUGGGCUUAGGGUAUUUUGGGGUUAGUUGGGCUAGGUAGAUUUGGUUUUAAUUUGGGCCCGCAAAUUGGGCUUGUACAGCUGUCCCUCUUUGCUCAUUGUCGUGUAACGAGAAUAAAGCAAAGACUUUCAAGAAAGACCAAUUUUCCCGAUCGCCGAGUUUUGACCUUUUUAGUGCUCCUCUUCUUUAGGUAACAUCAUUCAGCCUAGUGCCUCCUGUUGCUUUAAUCCGCUCCAUUGCUUCGCUGCAGCUUUAGUGAGAUAAGGUUUGGUUUUGAUCUGCUCUAUUGCGACUUCAGAGAGAUAAGAUCUGUUUAUUUACAGCUUCAAUAUAUUCCACUACAACUUCAGGGAAAUAAGAUUCGCUAUCUUCAGUCUGCUCAACUGUAACUUUAGGGAGAUAAGACUUGUGACUUCCAUCUUCUCUACUAAAACUUUAAGGAGAUCUGUUGUGGCUUUGAGCCGCUCCAACGCCAUCUCAGGGAGAAAAGAUGUGUAAUUUUCGGCCUGUUACCCUACUGCAUAAGGGUUCAAGGCCCAUCAUCUCUGAUCUGUUUCCCUACUGCUUAGGGGGUUAAGAUCCUUCGUCUUCGAUCUGCUCCACUACUGCUUAGGGAGAUAAGAUCUGCAAUUCAGUCUGUUACCUUACUGCUUAGGGGUUUAAGGCCCUUCAUCUUCGAUCUGUUUCCUUACUGCUUAGGGGGUUAAGAUCUGUAAAUCUUCAGCCUGUUACCCUACUGCUUAGGGUUUAAGGCCCUUCAUCUUCGAUCUGUUUCCCUACUACUUAGGGGGUUAAGAUCUGUAAAUCAGUUCUAUAUGUUUAUGCUUAUGCCAAAGAAUUAGGAUGCUAUGAUCGAAAUGAAUCAAAUGUUCCUAAUUGGAUAAGCUAUUAAUGAACUAUAAAUGCAUAAGUGCAGCAUGUUGUGAGCACGAAUCUCUUUUUUAAUGUACGAGUUGUCAUUGCUCUUUGUUCAUCAAGGUUCGAUCACUAAAAUGGUACCCCGUCUUCGUGUUCAGCUUAGAUCUUUAAACAGAAAACCUGAAGAGGUAGUCUCAAUUUAAACUCUUUUUUCUCAAAGGUUUCCAAUCUUUAAGUUUGGUUAGUUCUAAAUAAUAGCCCUGUUUCAGGUUCCUGUACUAUUUAAAAACUUUUAGAGUAAUAUGUAAACUCUUUUUGCGAAAAUGACUUUAGUCCAUUAAUCAUCAUUUCAAUGCAAAAUGCUUGGAAAAGAUCACAACAAUGACAGAACUGAAAUUUUUCAGAAACAAAAUUUGAAGGGAAUAGAUUAAUCACGGACAACAAAUAUUGCUAGAACACAAAAUGAAUAGAAAGAAAAUAGGUGCCCCAGAUAUCGCAGCGUGAGCUUCUUUGUACGAACUUCUUGAGGAUUCCCUUUUUGCCCAAUGUGUGUUUAGGAGAUCUAGAGUACCUUUGUAGAUGACCCGAGAUGUAGCAUACUUUUUUAUUGUUAAUUCAGGCAUAGCAAGACUGCUGUAUGCCCCACUUUGAUCCAAAUUUGAGCCGCCCUUUUUGGCUUUUCAACUCAAAUCCCCUUUGGUCUCAAGGCACCAUUUGCUGGUUUUCGCCUUGGCUUCUCCCUUUUUUUCUUUUUAGGUGAAGUACUUCUUAACCAAAUCUAAUUCACAGGAUUGGGUAAAGUCUUUCCAUCUAUUUCGGCCAAUAUCAAUGCUCCUCCAGAAAAGGCCUUCUUUACCACAUAAGGUCCUUCCCAAUUAGGCAUCCAUUUUCCUCUGAAAUCCUUUUGUAUGGGCAGGAUCUUUUUCAAUACUAGGUCUCCCUCGUAGAAUUCUCUAGGACGAACCUUUUUGUUGUAAGCUGGCAUCAUUCGCUUUUGGUACAUCUGACCAUGGUGGAUAGCCCUUAGCCUCUUUUCUUCUAUUCAGCUUCAUCCAACUUUACUUCUGACAAAACUCUGAGGGAAGGAAUCUUGACCUCGAUAGGUAAGACCGCCUCCAUUCCAUAAACCAAUGAGAAAGGCGUUGCCCCGGUGGAAGUCCUGACGGACGUUCGAUAAGCGUAAAGGGCGAAUGGUAACUUUUCAUGCCAGUCUUUAUAAGUCUCAAUCAUUUUUCCCACAAUCUUCUUAAUGUUCUUAUUAGCCGCUUCAACUACACCGUUCAUCUUCGGAGGGUAUGGUGACGAGUUGUGGUAUCUGAUCUUGAACUGACUGUAGACGUCUAUUAUCGUGCUGUCGUUCAAAUUUAAUGCAUUGUCACAUAUGAUUCUUUCUAGCAUUCCAUAUCGACAGAUAAUUUCCUUUUUCAGGAACUUGCUAACUGUCGAUUUUGUAACAUUGGCAUAUGAAGCAGCUUCUACCCACUUGGUGAAAUAGUCAAUGACCACAAAGAUGAAUCGAUGCCCAUUUGAAGCUUUUGGUGAAAUUGGCCCGAUCACAUCCAUGUCCCACAUCGAGAAAGGUCAUGGAGAAGUCAUGACAUGUAGAGGUGAAGGAGGCACAUUAAUCCUGUCUCCAUAGAUUUGGCACUUGUGACAUCUUUUGGCAUAGUUAAUACAGUCUCCUCCCAUAGUGGACCAAUAAUAACCAAACCUCAUAAUUUGCCUAGCCAUUGUAAAGCCAUUAGCGUGUGUCCUACAGACGCCCUCAUGGACUUCUUCUAAGAUUUUCUUAGCCUCAAUAGCAUCUACACAUCUCAACAGUACCUGAUCCUUCCUUCUUUUGUAUAGGAUCUCCCCGUCCAAGACAUAGUCACUGGCUAGCCUUCUCAGAGUUCUUUUGUCGUUCUCAGUAGCUUGGUCGGGGUACUCACGACUCUUCAUAUAUUGCAGGAUAUCGUGAUACCAAGGGUGAUCAUCAUUUCCUUCUUCUUCUUCGAGGUUGUAACAAUGAGCCGGUGCCUCGUAAAUGCUCAUUUGGAUUGGUUUCACAUCCUCUUGCUUAUUCACCUUGAUCAUAGAAGCUAAAGUUGUCAGGGCGUCAGCCAUCUGAUUUUCUUUUCGCGGGAGGUAGCAGAAGACAAUAUCAUCAAACUCUUUAAUUAAUUUAAGGAUCAGCCUUCGAUAAUUGAUCAACUUGGGGUCUCUCGUCUCCCAUUUACCUUUGAGUUGAUAAAUCACUAAGGCAGAAUCUCUAUAUACCUCUAACACCUUGAUUUUACGUUCUAUGGCCGUGCGUAUUCCCAUGAUACAUGCUUCGUAUUCUGCCAUAUUGUUCGUGCAGUCAAAAUCCAAUUUACUAGUGAAGGGAUAAUGAUCUCUGUUUGAGGAUAUCAGGACUGCCCCGAUUUCGUUGCCCACAGCAUUUGAUGCUCCGUCAAAGUUUAGCUUCCAAGGAUGACCCUCUUGAGGGUCUUCUUCAGUGGUUACUAUGUACAUUAGAUCUUCAUUUGGGAAGUCAAAUUUCAGAGGCUCGUAAUCCUCUAGGGCUCUACUGGCUAGAAAAUCUGCUAUCGUACUCCCUUUUACGGCCUUUUGGUUCAUAUAGACUAUAUCGAAUUCAGAAAGUAGAAUUUGCCAUCGGGCCAUUCUCUCGUUUAAAGAAGUCGACUCCAUCAACUAUUUCAAAGGAUCUAUUUUAGAAAUUAGCCAAUUUGUAUGGUACAACAUGUAUUGUCUUAGUCUUCGGGUUGUCCAGAUUAGGGCGCAACACAAUUUUUCAACUGGCGAGUAUCUUGUUUCACACUCAGUGAACUUUUUACUGAGGUAAUAUAUCGCCCUUUCUUUCCUUCCUGACUCAUCGUGCUGGCCAAGAACACAUCCCAUAGAUUUUUCAAACACCGUUAAAUACAAUAUCAAUGGUUUGUCUGGACUAGGUGGUGUCAACACUGGGGCAUUGGAUAAAUAUUGCUUAACAUUGUCGAAAGUCUUCUGGCACUCCUCAUCCCAAACACCAGGGUUGUGUUUCUUAAGGAGACAGAAUAUGGGGUUACAUUUCUCGGUUAGUUGUGAAAUAAACCGAGUGAUGCAGUUUAAUCUUCCUAGGAAUCCCCGAACUUCCUUUUGAGUACGCGAUGGAGGUAACUCUUGUAUGGCUUUGACUUUAUCUAGGUCAAUCUCAAUCUCUUUUUCACUGACUAUGAAUCCUAGCAGUUUUCCUGACCUGGACCCGAAGGUACACUUUGCUGGAUUGGGUUUCAGCUGGAAUUUCCUCAAUCUCAAAAAUAAUUUCCUCAAGACUUGCACAUGCUCCUCUUCUGUCCGAGAUUUGGCGAUCAUGUCGUCAACAUAGACUUCAAUUUUUUAUGCAUCAUAUCAUGGAACAAGUUUACCAUGGCUCUUUGAUAUGUUGCUCUCGCAUUUUUCAGUCCGAACGGCAUCACCUUAUAGCAAAAUGUUCCCCACAUGGUUACAAAUGUGGUCUUAUUCAUGUCCUCAGGAUGCAUCUUUAUCUGAUUGUACCCUGAGAAACCAUCCAUGAAGGAGAAAAGUGAGUAACCUGCCGUAUUGUCCACUAAAGUGUCGAUAUGAGGCAACAGGAAAUUAUCCUUUGGGCUGGUUUUGUUUAAGUCCCUGUAGUCUACACAUAUUUGUACUUUUCCAUCUUUCUUAGGGACGGGGACAAUAUUGGCUACCCAUUCUGAGUACUUAACUACUUGUAAGAAACCAGCAUCAAAUUGCUUAUUGACCUCCUCUUUUAUUUUCAACAAAACAUCGGGCCGCAUCCUUCGAAGCUUUUGUUGAACUGGCUUGCAUUCUUCUUUGAUGGGGAGCCUGUAUACCACGAUGUCAGUACUUAGUCCAGGCAUAUCUUGAUACGACCAUGCGAAGACAUCCUUUAACUCUUGGAGUAACUCAAUAAGGUCUCGAUUUGUCUCCAUGGUAAUACAAGCUCCGAUCUUUACUUCUUUCUUUUCUAAUUCAUCUCCCAAGUUCACGACUUCCACUGUCUCCUUGUGGGGUAGAAUCUGUUUCUCCUCUUGUUCUACCAUUCUUAACAAAUCAGGGAAUAAGCCACAGUCUUUUUCAUCCUCAAAGUCCUGAGAUCCCUCUAGAUACAUAUCCCGCUCAAAAGAAGACUCUGAGUUAGUAGCAACGUCGCUCAUAUCGUUGAUAUCUGGAGACCUGUUGUAGGUGCGAAGGAAGAUACAAAGAACAACAGAAUCUAAGAACAAUGAUAUGUAUGGUAUGAUCAUGAAUGAAAGAAUAAAAGAAUAUUUGCAAAAGAUAAGACAAAAAGAUGUAUCUCAUUGAAAUAACGAUUUUGAACAUAAGCCUAUUUCACAAAAAGAAGCUUAUUACUCCUAAGCCUAGAGCAAUAAGUGUGUUUUAGACAUCACUCUGAGUUAGUUCUAAAGACUACAGGAAUCUCUUCCGCAAUCCAAUUAUUCAGAACACUUCCCAGCUCAUAAGGGCGAAUGCCCAACAAAUUCUCUACUCCAAUUUCUUCUUUGUAUGUGGCAUUGAUGUCCAAAUUUUCCAUCAUUCUUUCCACGAUUUCCUUUCUCGACGUCUUUCACUCGGGGUGAAUGACUCCUUCAGACACAAAAGUCUUUGAAAUAUGGGGAAAGAUCAUUGGUUCCCAUUCGAUUUCUCCCCCGCUCAAUCGCGUUUUCCUUCUCUCUUGCUUUUUCUCAAGUUCUUUCUUUCUUUGUUUUGUGUCCGACUUAAAUCCUAACCCAAAACGGUCUUGUUUUUCCUUCAUCAUCGGUACAUUAAUCCUUCCCUGGAGGUAUCUCCCGAGUCCUCUUCCAACUAGGGCCCCUUUUCCAACAGUUAGUCGUAGUCCCAUUCUUGUAGUCUCAGAUAGCCUGGGCCUUGCAAUCUUAUUUCCUUCGGUAAUGAAUGUCGCAUUCACAAACUCUAAAGACCAAAAAGAGCAUUCGAUUGCUUCAUCAUUCACCUCUAAAUAUGAGGCGUCACUGGUUAUUGCUGCGAUGAUAUCUUCUUCAGCAUUGAUCGUUACUAACCGACCUUCGGUCAUUCAUUUCAACAUUUGGUGCAGCGAUGAAGGGACUGCCCCUGCUGAGUGUAUCCAUGGCCUCCCCAAUAGGCAAUUAUACGAGGGCUUAAUGUCCAUGACCAAGAAAUCUACUUCGUACGUGCUCGGCCCAAUUAAGAGGGGUAAUUCAAUUCUCCCCAUUACCUUCCUUUCCGUGCCAUCAAAUGCUCUCACUACAUUUUGGCAUGUCUUCAUAUGAGAACUAUCCACUGGCAACCUACUCAGCGUAGAUAGGGGUAGGACAUUUAGUGUAGACCUAUUGUCAAUCAAUACCCCCGGUAAUGUGUACCCUUUACAGCGAGUCGUGAUGUGCAAAGCUUUAGUCGAUCAUCGGCCUCCUAGCGGUACUUCAUCGUCAUUGAAGAAUAUGAAGUUGUCGACACUUAUAUUGUUGACUAAGCGGUCUAGUUUGUUCACAGAUAUAUCAUUAGCAACAUAAGUUUCAUUUAGCACCUUCAUCAACGCGCUGCGAUGGGUUUCGGAGCUUAAGAGUAAAGCCAGUACCGAUAUACGAACUGGCUGCUUGUGCAACUUUUCUACGACACUAUAUUCACUGUGCUUUAAAAAUUUUAAGAAUUUCUUUGCUUCUUUUUCAGUCACUGAUUUAUUAACAGUUGGUUCAGGUCCCGCCGGCUUCUCCUUCCUGUGCUCAGUCGCCAAUGACUUUCCUUUAACCUGCUCGACUUUUGUAUUUGAGGUAUAACGCCUUCCGCUGCGAAUAUAAAACCCCUCGUCUUGACCUUCCUCUGAUGAAUUAAUCGAGAUUUCUUCUCCCGGGAUUGUCACAUUGCAGCUAUAGUUCGACGGUACCCUUCUGCUAUCUUUGUAAGGGAAAGCAAUGGGCUUCUAGAUUACAACCUUUGACGCAACUUGUACCCCAGCUUCAUUCAUUCUCGGACCCGAUAUGAUAACCACUGGGUGGUUGACUUUGUAAACUUCCUUUAUCGACCCCUCUUCGGAGGCACACACAUCUGUUUCUUCUGGGCUCCCGACAUAUUCGAAGAAUUCCAGCUCCUUAUUAUCCAUCAAUCCUUGUACUAAAGCCCUAAAUUGGCUGCAUUUCUGAAUCUUGUGAUCCUCUUGAUCAUGGAACUCGCAAUAAUUCUUUGCUUCUCGAGGUCUGACCCUUGAAUUCUGUGCUAUCAACCCUCUUUCCACCAUUUUCCUCCAUACUUCUUUCAGCGGGGUAUUCACUUCUACAAUAUUCAUCUUAAUUUCUUUCCCCGAACUCUCGAUUAUCGCAUUUAUCCCCUUAUCCCCAUGGUUAGGUAAUGGAUUCUCUGCACUAGAUGUAUCAUCAAAUUUCACGAUCCCCAUGUUGAUGAGUCUUUCAACCAACUUCUUGAAAGUGGUGCAGUUUUCUAUCGAGUGUCCUGUGGUUCCCGCAUGGUAUUCGCAUUGGGCAUUUGCGUCAUACCAUUUGGGGUAUGGAGGUUGCAUUGGUUUUAGAUAGAAGGGAGACACGACAUAUGUAUCAAAAAAACUUUGGUAUAACUCCUUGUACAUCAUUGGAAUAGGCGUAAAUUGGAGUUUCUCCCUAUUUUGUUUUGUGUUGGGCUCUUGUCUGGGUGGGCCCUGCUGUCCAGUAGUUGUCGACCUUGGUUGGCUUACAGUGAUCAAUUUCAAAUAUGAACUCACAUUAUUCACUUCGUGCUCUCUCUUUCUCGGCGCUGACCUUUUGGCGUUUUCUCCAGCUUCUAUUUUCCCACAUCUUAUCGCAUUUUCUAUCAUUUUUCCAGACAUUACUAUGUCUGAAAAACUCUUGGUUGUGCUACCCAACAUGUGGUUAAUAAAAGGUGCCUUCAGGAUGUUGGUAAAGAGCAUAGUGGUUUCCUUUUCCAACAAAGGGGGUUGGACUUAUGUGGCCACCUCUCUCCAUCGUUGGGCAUACUGCCUAAAGCUCUCAUUAUGCUUUUUCUCCAUAUUCUGUAAAGUGAUUCUAUCAGGAGCUAUGUCUGCCACAUGACCGUACUGCUUCAUGAAAGCUUGUGCUAGAUCUUUCCAUGAACUGAUCUGGGCACGACUCAGUUGGUUGUACCAUCUAGAAGCGGCCCCAACCAGACUUUCUUAGAAGCAGUGAAUUAAUAGUUGGUCAUUAUUGACAUGGCCUACCAUUAGUCUGCAGAACAUAGUGAUGUGAGCUUCGGGACAGCUAGUCUCAUUGUAUUUCUCAAAUUCCGGAGUUUUGAACUUGGGAGGGAGUACCAGGUCUGGAACCAAACUUAAUUCCUUAGCAUCAAUUCCACCACGAUAGUCAGUGCUUUCCAUUUCUUUAAAUUUUUCUUCUAACCAUCUACACCUUUCUUCAAGCUCUUUCGGGAGUUCUACCCUUGUCUUUUCUAUUUCUGUUACUUUAUCGAGAUUAAAGACCACAGGGUUAGUCGGGUUAUCCCCCGGAUUAGAGCCCGAGCUAGCCUGAUAAUUCAUCGGUGCCGAAACACCGGCUUGAAAUGGUUGGGGUCUAACUGUGACCGAUAGCCUUCUUGGGUACAUAUCAGGUUGUGUCUGAACGUCUGCUGGGGCAAAACCCGGAGGGUAGGUAGGAUCUUCAUUAUCAUCUCCUCCAUUGAUCAAUGGGCUUUUUUCUUUUUCUAAUCCGCCAGCCAAUAGACGCAUUAAUUGGUCCAUCAUGCUUUUCUAGGAUUCCAGCAUCUGUUCCCUCAUAUCUUGCUGGAUUUUGGCAAGCUGUUCUUGCAUACGUGUUUGUAAUUGAUCCUGCAUCUCUUUUUUCAUUUGUUCCAAUCUCUCUAACCUUUGGUCCAUUGCUCUUGUUUUUUCUCUUGUACCAUAACGAUGUUCCAGGGUAACUGCCAUGAUUUUUAGGGUUUUUUUGUGAGUUUUAGUACGUAUGAUGCAAUGUUGAUGCAUGAAUGCAAUGAAUGCGAUGAAUGCAAAAAGCGUUGAUUCCAAUUCGAUUUCAUUAGAAUAAUUUUUCUAGAAAACAAGUUUCUUUACAUAAAAUAGAUUACAUAUAAGGCUUGACCUUGAUACUUAAGGCCUUGACCUGCCUAAGAAGCCAAGCUAGCUCUCGACCUCGGUCUGAUUCUGACUCGUAUUUUAAACUCAGCACAUCGGCUUGUACUGCUAAUGUUUACAAGUGAUCAGCCACUUCUCGCACUUGAGUCAAAGCUUGGCCCAUGACGUAGUCCCUGCUCCUGACUUGGUCUUGAGAUUGAUGAAGUUGCUCCUUCCAUCACUCGUUAUUUACCUCGAGGAGUUCAAUCUGAAGUUUACGAUUUUGCAGUGCCGUUUUAAGUUCCUUUAUAUUCUCUUUUAAUUCUUCGAUUCUGCUCUGACUAGCUUUCAACUCAAUUACAGAGUUAUGUGAACGAUACUGAUACAAGGACCUCUCUAACUCUGGCAUCCGAAUCUUUAAUCCUUCCUUCUCAUUUUGGCUUUCUACCAAACUUCUUUUCAUAGCGCCUUUUCGAGCUUGAGCAUCGUAAAAUUUUUCUUCCCAUUGGUUGGCUUUGCUUCUCUCUUCUUUUACUUAUUGUCGCCACUGUUCAGAUGUUUUUCCUAACCCGACGGUUCUCAUUGACCUACGCAGCUUCUUAUAGUCCGUUUUCAAACUGUCCAAGUCCUCUUCAGCCUUGUUUUUUCCUUUUCUGAGUCUUUCAGCUUCUAGUUUCUAGACAUCGACAUCUAACCCCAGCUGCAUUUUUUCUUCCUCCAAUUGCUCGAUCCUUUUCUCUAGCUCCAGACUCUUUCUCUCGAAAUCUUGACUGAUGAUUUCUAGCUCAGAUGGGAUUACUUUCAAGUGUUCUUCUAUCGACCGAGGAUUCCCUUGAUCUGAUGUAGGGAUAUUUUCGUUAAUCCUCUGAUCCCUCCAUCGGUCGUACUCAGGAGUAGUCAUAGGAUUGGCAGCAAACUUUUUCAUUCUACGGGUCUGGUUCUAGGCAUUUGAUAUAUCGCUAACUUUCUUUUUGUAAUUAUUCCCCGUGAAUGCGAACUCGCACUAAGCUAACCCGUAUGUUGGUGGUGUAAACUAUCUGGAUCUGUACUGUCGUAAUGCAAGCAGAAGAGCAUACCCGACGGCUCCCCAUACUCCUAACAAAAGAACCCAAUCGAAGUCUCCGUAUCGAUAUAAUAUUUCAUCAGGAAUCAUCUAUGGGGCUCUCCAUUCAACGUCUUCUUCUUGUAAAUUUCGGAGAACCGUUAUCCAAUUUUCUUCUGAAAUAUCAUCUCUCCUCGAUGUAGCUACCAACUCUUUCAGUGGAGAGUAAUUUUCAGAGAAGAUACGAUACGGGACCUUUUCCACUUUCCAAAAAUGGCUGUGGAACCAAGAUAGCAAGAGCUGUGCACAUCUGAUAAAUCUCCCUUCACCCGCUCUUCGGCAAGCAUUUAGUGAUCUGAAAGUUUCAGCUAAGAUUGCGGGUACAGGUGUGGUCCCUUUACCAAGCCUGUAAAAAAGAUCGGAAACCGCCUCAUCUGCAUGCCCCAAAGCUUUGGGGAAGACAACCAGUCCAUAAAUGCUCAGGGUGAAGACAUCUACUCUUUUCUUCACAUCGGGGUGCAAUAAGAUUAGAUCCUUUAGGUUCUUCCCAGGAAUGCAUUUACAAUCUCCUUUUUGUUUGAUCCGGGUUGUAACCCAUUGUUCGCUCAUCCCUGUGAUGUUCAUAAGUUUUUUUGCAAAUGCUGGGACGUUGGCAGGUCUGGAAUAAAUUCUGGCAACCUGAAUCUUCAGGCAAUAGAGCAAGGUCAUGUAUUCUUCUAUAGUAGGUACCAAAUCCACCUUCCCGAAAGUGAAGCAACUGUAAGCAGAAUUUCAAUAUUGGGCAAGGGCUCGAAACAGGUGUUCAUCUACCUUGACAUCGAGCAAAUAAGGUAAAUCACCGUAAUGACAAUAGAAUAGUUGUUUGACCUCGUCAUCCCACUGACCCCAAAUUUUUUUCAUCUCUUAGAGAUUGUUCUGAGUUACGCUGAUCCGAGUAAAAUCCCACAACUCUGACACGUACCCCUUAGUAAGACUGUCACCUUUCUCUUGUUGGGUUGUCUCAGCCCAUAUCCGAACAGCUGCGUUGUCCUCUACUUUAUCAAAAAAACCCCUUUUCCAUGAUAAGCUAUCUACUUAGCAACCGAAUAUGAAUCAACACCUUUUGUAAUGCAAAUGCCAUACAAAUACAAUCAAAGUAAAACAAAACAAGUCAGUAUUUCAUACGCAGUUUAAAGCAAACAAAGAAUAAUAAAUAUAGCACUUGCUUAAGUAACCACUAGGGUUUCGGAGUGGCUCUACCUAGGGUGGGUUCUUAAGGCUCGUUACAUGGGGUUCGAUUCUAGAGUAAAAGUACCUGAACCGGCAGAUUCCUCGAUCUUCACCCAUUAUAAGCUCAUACAGACCGAGUUCAGUUCAGGGGAAUACAUUUCCCUAUGGCUGCACGGAUAUGAAAAUCUCACGAAGACAUAGGUACGGAUGUAUCCCAAAAGCGAUCCACUAUCCUGCACGGAGGUGAAAACCUCACGAAGGAGUAGUUUCUCACUCCCACUUAAAGGGGUGUGACCACAGCGGUCAUGCAAUGAAAUAUGCAAACUAUUUAAAGACUCGAACCAACGCAGCAGGUAUUAUAUCAUAAACCACAAAAAUAGCUGAUGAAAUGCAAUGAAAGGAUCGUAUUUCAAAACCAAAUUUCUAAUUUUUGAUAAAAAGACAAAAGUUAAUCAACUUGUGGCUUGACUCUCUUAUUUGCUCCCCAGUGGAGUCGCCAAGCUGUCGAAACCAUUUUUGAAAAAUAGCGGUCGACUUGGAUUUUGAAAAAUGAAAACGAAUAGAGGGAGUCGCCACCAAUCCUUUUUGGUGAGGUGUGCUUGGAUCACCUUAAAUUAAUCAUUUUAAUAACAGUUAAGAUUUACUAAAACGAUAAUUUUUGGUCUACGAAAAUCAAAAAAUGAGUUCGUGAGUCGGUUACGCACGAGGAAGGAUUAGCACCCUCGAUACGCCCAAAAUUGGUUCCUAGUUGAUUAAUUAGUGUCUUAGUGUCGAAAAUUUUGAAAAUUCGAAAGAAUUUAGAAUACGAUCCCUCUAAAAAAAACAUUCGAACGUUAAAGACCUUCUCGUCUCGAAGCAACAAAAUGUUAUAUCUAGUGAGUUAGGACACAACAUCUCGAACUUUUGAGAAUGAGCUUGCCUUUUACUUAAAAAUCCGUGUAUUUUAACUACUUUUCAAAAGGAUAUUCGGUUAGUUAGGGUGAACGAGGAAAAUCGAAACCUAGUAAGUUAGGGCACAUUUCCUCGAAUUUCCAAACACCGAAUAUUGCCUUUACUUGCGAAAAAUCUUAUUCCGAGGUAACAAAAUGUCAUACCCGGUAAGUUAGGGCACAACAUCUCGUAUUUUUGAGAAUAAGUAUUUUUUUAACUCGUAUUGUGAUUUUUAAAAGAAUACUCCGUUAUUUGGGUUAGAUGAGAAGAAUCGAAACCCAGUAAGUUAGGGCACGAUUAUCUCAAAUUACCAAAUAUAGGAUAUUGCUUUUAUGAAAGAAUUGUUUUAAUAUAUUGAGUAAAAACAUGAUUUGUAGUAAAACAUAAAAGCAAAUUAGGGUCUUAAUAUGUAUAAUAACAUAAUGAUAGUUGUGACAGUGCCAAAAACAAUAAUAUGAGCACUUAUAAGAGAUGGAAUAAUAGCAAGGCUAGUAAUAUGUAAAUAUAAACAAAUACAUGAGGAAAAUGGAAUGAUCGAUUACAUAGGUAAAUAAAUAAACAAAAAUAAAUAAAACAUGGCAAAAAUAAAAAUGACAAUGAUAACGAAAACGAUAAUAAUAGUAAUGACAUAAAUAAUAAUAGUAUAAAACGAUAAUAAUACAUAUGGUAUUGAAAAUAUAUAUAUACGAUAUUUAUUGAAAACAGUAAUAAUAUAUAUAUAAAAACUAAUAAUGACGAUACAUAAAUAUAUACAUAUAUGUAUUAAAAUAUAUACGUCAUGAUAGAAAUAAAAAUAUAUAUAUACGUAGUAUUAAAAAAUGUACAUAAUAUAUAUAAAAAAAUAUAAUAUUAAAAAUGUAUAUACAAUACACAUAUAUUAUAAAUGAUGAUAAUGUUAGAAAACAACUAUUGAAGAUAUUACAUAAUUAUAUGUACAUAUAUGAAAGACAAAUACAUGAUAAUAUUAAAAGUAUUUACAUAGUAUAUGUAUAUAUUAGAAAAUGUAUACAUAAUAUAUAAAAGAAAUAUAUAUGCAUAUAUAAUAUUUAGAAAAGACGAAGUAUACAUAGUAUAAUAUUGAUAUACAUAUAUGCGUAGCAUGGGGUGUAAUUAGAAGUAUAUAUAUGUGACACACCAAUACAUUAUCAAAAGCAAUAAUAUUAAAAGCUAUCAAUAAUGCCAUGUAAUAUAAUAUAUAUAUAUAAAAGUAUCAAGUAAGAAUAAUAAUAAUGGGACACUAAUAAGCAAAAAUAUAAUAAUAACAGUAAUAAAAUAUAAUAGCAUGAAUGGUAUUAAAAUUUAAAAAUAAAAAACGGUAAAAGAAGGACGAAAUUGAAUUGAAAAUGGAAUUUUUGGGACAAAUCGGGAUGGGAUAAAAAUGUAGGGGUUAAAUGCAACAUGCGAGAAGAUGUAGGGGCUAUAUGCGGCAGUAAUUCAAUACCCGAAAUGACACCGCUCAAAAUGUCUAACCCCCAAAUGGUCUGAGGUACGAAUUGAAGCAAAAUCAAAAUUAAAAGGCAGAUUCGAGAAAUGGUCACAGACUAGAUUAAAACCCAACAGAAAUGGGGAGGGACUACGCGAGCAAUUAUCCCAAACAGUAGAAACACACGGAUCCUCAGGCAUCAGGUGGGGUCACGCACGGGUCACGUGAAACGGCGUCGUUUAGGGGCUUAUGGGUGCCGACCAAAACGACGUCGUUUUGUAACAUCUAUAUAAGUUAAAAAAUUUUAACAUCUAUAUAAGUUAAAAAAUUUUCUUUUAAAAUCAUUUUGCUAUCUGUUUCUAAAAAACUAUACUUGUUUUCUUUGUUUUCUCUGCAGGUCCAGGCUCAGUCAGCACUCCGACGAACUGCCACUGCCCUCCGCCGCGUCUCUACCGUCGGCGACCACCGUGCACGGCGGUCAGAGGUAAGAAUCUCCUUCUUUUUUAUUUUUUUCUAUAUUUUAUGUGUUUAUAAUAUAUGUAUAUAUAUAUGCAAAUAGAAGAUUUGAAAAAUGGAAAAGAAAAAGAAAUAAAUCAAAAAAGUGUAUAAAAUAUAAUCACCUUAGUUCUUUAGAUAUCUGAUUCUUGGUAUUUGUUUUCCGAUUUAGUGUUUUUCUCUUUGAUUGGCUAUUUUGUGCUUUGACUCACUUGAUUUUUUGUUUGUAUUUUAAAACCAAAUGUUUUUUUUUAUUUCUCACAAGUGCCGACCUUGUACAAUGGUUUUAGGGGUGGUCUUUUAUAUCCACUUUCCCUUACAACUUGCUCCCUAAUAAAUUGCUCUGUCUUUCUUGCAGAAAAAUAGGUGGUGUUGGUGUCAGGCAGUGGCGGUGGACGUGACAAGCGGUGGCAGACCUGGCACAAGUGGUUAGGCUAGGGUUUCCUUUAGCUUUUGUGUUUUGUGUUUGGAUUGGGACUUUGAUUUGUUUGGACUUGGGGUAUUUUGGGGUUAGUUGGGCUAGGUAGAUUUGGUUUUAAUUUGGGCCCGCAAAUUGGGCUUGUACAAGUGCUAAUACUUUGGUUCUAAUAUAAUAAUAAGACGUUGACAUCCAAUGGCCAUAAGUUGGCAUCCAAUAGUCAUAACUAAAAGUUUGUUUCAAAAUGAAAUAUGUUUC
RNAcentral lists this long non-coding RNA (15165 nucleotides) under Gossypium barbadense (sea-island cotton). RNAcentral describes it as "long non-coding RNA (GBAR_LNC005592)". The record is from RNAcentral. Lineage: Eukaryota; Viridiplantae; Streptophyta; Magnoliopsida; Malvales; Malvaceae.